This 1245-nucleotide ribosomal RNA is filed under the name Triticum aestivum (bread wheat). RNAcentral describes it as "partial small subunit ribosomal RNA". The record is from RNAcentral. Lineage: Eukaryota; Viridiplantae; Streptophyta; Magnoliopsida; Poales; Poaceae.
AUGCUGGCAAGUGCCACGGCGACAAACUCGUAUUGGACUGGUGCCGCGGCUGGGGGUCUAGGGUUUAGCCGGGCGGCAAUAAUUGGGAGGCCGAAAGGAGAAUCGAAUCGAUACUCCCGGUCCCGGACGACCUGCUUGGCUGCGCGCGUCUCGAUACCACCUACCCCGUCGCCGUCAGAGCCUCUUCCCACGCGCCGCUCCCCUGUCCCCGCACCCCCCGCCGCCGCCGCCGCCGCUCCCCGGGACGAGAUGGAGGUCGCUGCCGCUGCCGCCGCCGUCGCCGUCCCGAGGCACAAGGUGAAGAAGCAGAUUAACCUCUUCUACUGCGCCGAGUGCGAGGAGCUCGCCCUCAAGGUCGCCGCCGCCUCCGACGCCAUCCAGCUCCAGUCUAUCAACUGGAGGAACUUCCCCGACGGGUUCCCGAACCUCUUCAUCAACAACGCGCACGACAUCCGGGGGCAGCACGUCGCCUUCCUCGCCUCCUUCAGCUCGCCGGCGAUCAUCUUCGAGCAGAUCUCCGUCAUCUUCGCGCUGCCCAAGCUCUUCAUCGCCUCCUUCACGCUCGUGCUGCCCUUCUUCCCCACCGGUACCUUCGAGCGCGUCGAGGAGGAGGGCGACGUCGCCACCGCCUUCACGCUCGCGCGCAUCCUCUCCAUGAUCCCCAAGUCGCGCGGCGGGCCCACCAGCGUCGUCAUCUACGACAUCCACGCGCUCCAGGAGAGGUUCUACUUCGGGGACGACGUCCUGCCCUGCUUCGAGACCGGGAUACCGCUCCUGCUGCAGCGCCUCAGCCAGCUCCCCGACGCCGACAAUGUCACCAUUGCCUUCCCAGAUGAUGGGGCGUGGAAGCGCUUCCACAAGUCGUUGGCCAACUUCCCAGUGGUUGUCUGUGCGAAGGUCCGUGAAGGCGACAAGAGGAUAGUCCGGAUUAAAGAAGGGAACCCUGAAGGGCGACAUGUCGUUAUUGUCGAUGAUCUAGUGCAAUCUGGUGGAACUCUUAGAGAGUGCCAGAAAGUUCUGGCUGCUCAUGGUGCUACAAAAGUCAGCGCCUAUGUAACUCAUGCUGUGUUCCCCAAUCAGUCAUAUGAACGCUUCAUGACUGCUAAUUCUGCCGGGCCAGGUGACCAGUUUGCUUACUUCUGGAUCACGGAUUCGUGCCCUCAGACAGUGAAAGCCAUCAGCCAACAACCUCCAUUUGAGGUGUUGAGCCUUGCUAGCUCGAUUGCUGAUGCCCUUCAGAUAUGA